UUGAACGCUGGCGGUAUGCUUAACACAUGCAAGUCGAACGGCAGCACGAGAAAGCUUGCUUUCUUGGUGGCGAGUGGCGGACGGGUGAGUAAUGCAUAGGAAUCUACCUCGAAGCGGGGGAUAACCCGGGGAAACUCGGGCUAAUACCGCAUAAUCUCUACGGAGGAAAGCAGGGGAUCUUCGGACCUUGCACUUUGAGAUGAGCCUAUGUCAGAUUAGCUAGUUGGUAGGGUAAAGGCCUACCAAGGCAAUGAUCUGUAGCUGGUCUGAGAGGAUGACCAGCCACACUGGGACUGAGACACGGCCCAGACUCCUACGGGAGGCAGCAGUGGGGAAUAUUGCGCAAUGGGCGAAAGCCUGACGCAGCGACGCCGCGUGGGUGAUGAAGGCCUUCGGGUCGUAAAGCCCUGUCGCAGGGGAAGAAUAAGCAUCGGUAUAAUACGCCGGUGCCCUGACGGUACCCUGCAAGAAAGCACCGGCUAACUCUGUG
This 490-nucleotide ribosomal RNA is filed under the name uncultured bacterium. Its description in RNAcentral is "bacterial SSU rRNA". It matches the Rfam family "Bacterial small subunit ribosomal RNA", at positions 30 to 507 of the family's 1533-position model. The record is from RNAcentral.